GGUUAAGCGACUAAGCGUACACGGUGGAUGCCCUGGCAGUCAGAGGCGAUGAAGGACGUGCUAAUCUGCGAAAAGCGUCGGUAAGGUGAUAUGAACCGUUAUAACCGGCGAUGUCCGAAUGGGGAAACCCAGUGCAAUUCGUUGCACUAUCGUUAACUGAAUACAUAGGUUAACGAGGCGAACCGGGGGAACUGAAACAUCUAAGUACCCCGAGGAAAAGAAAUCAACCGAGAUUCCCCCAGUAGCGGCGAGCGAACGGGGAGCAGCCCAGAGUCUGAAUCAGCUUGUGUGUUAGUGGAACGGUCUGGAAAGUCCGACGGUACAGGGUGAUAGUCCCGUACACCAAAAUGCACAGGCUGUGAACUCGAAGAGUAGGGCGGGACACGUGGUAUCCUGUCUGAAUAUGGGGGGACCAUCCUCCAAGGCUAAAUACUCCUGACUGACCGAUAGUGAACCAGUACCGUGAGGGAAAGGCGAAAAGAACCCCGGCGAGGGGAGUGAAAAAGAACCUGAAACCGUGUACGUACAAGCAGUGGGAGCACCUUCGGGUGUGACUGCGUACCUUUUGUAUAAUGGGUCAGCGACUUAUAUUCUGUAGCAAGGUUAACCGUAUAGGGGAGCCGCAGGGAAACCGAGUCUUAACUGGGCGUUAAGUUGCAGGGUAUAGACCCGAAACCCGGUGAUCUAGCCAUGGGCAGGUUGAAGGUUGGGUAACACUAACUGGAGGACCGAACCGACUAAUGUUGAAAAAUUAGCGGAUGACUUGUGGCUGGGGGUGAAAGGCCAAUCAAACCGGGAGAUAGCUGGUUCUCCCCGAAAGCUAUUUAGGUAGCGCCUCGUGAAUUCAUCUUCGGGGGUAGAGCACUGUUUCGGCUAGGGGGUCAUCCCGACUUACCAACCCGAUGCAAACUACGAAUACCGAAGAAUGUUAUCACGGGAGACACACGGCGGGUGCUAACGUCCGUCGUGAAGAGGGAAACAACCCAGACCGCCAGCUAAGGUCCCAAAGUCAUGGUUAAGUGGGAAACGAUGUGGGAAGGCACAGACAGCCAGGAUGUUGGCUUAGAAGCAGCCAUCAUUUAAAGAAAGCGUAAUAGCUCACUGGUCGAGUCGGCCUGCGCGGAAGAUGUAACGGGGCUAAACCAUGCACCGAAGCUGCGGCAGCGACGCUUAUGCGUUGUUGGGUAGGGGAGCGUUCUGUAAGCCUGCGAAGGUGACCUGUGAGGGUUGCUGGAGGUAUCAGAAGUGCGAAUGCUGACAUAAGUAACGAUAAAGCGGGUGAAAAGCCCGCUCGCCGGAAGACCAAGGGUUCCUGUCCAACGUUAAUCGGGGCAGGGUGAGUCGACCCCUAAGGCGAGGCCGAAAGGCGUAGUCGAUGGGAAACAGGUUAAUAUUCCUGUACUUGGUGUUACUGCGAAGGGGGGACGGAGAAGGCUAUGUUAGCCGGGCGACGGUUGUCCCGGUUUAAGCAUGUAGGCUGGUUGUCCAGGCAAAUCCGGAUAAUCAAGGCUGAGGUGUGAUGACGAGGCACUACGGUGCUGAAGUAACAAAUGCCCUGCUUCCAGGAAAAGCCUCUAAGCAUCAGGUAACAUUAAAUCGUACCCCAAACCGACACAGGUGGUCAGGUAGAGAAUACCAAGGCGCUUGAGAGAACUCGGGUGAAGGAACUAGGCAAAAUGGUGCCGUAACUUCGGGAGAAGGCACGCUGGUGUGUAGGUGAAGUCCCUGCGGAUGGAGCUGAGACCAGUCGAAGAUACCAGCUGGCUGCAACUGUUUAUUAAAAACACAGCACUGUGCAAACACGAAAGUGGACGUAUACGGUGUGACGCCUGCCCGGUGCCGGAAGGUUAAUUGAUGGGGUUAUCCGUAAGGAGAAGCUCUUGAUCGAAGCCCCGGUAAACGGCGGCCGUAACUAUAACGGUCCUAAGGUAGCGAAAUUCCUUGUCGGGUAAGUUCCGACCUGCACGAAUGGCGUAAUGAUGGCCAGGCUGUCUCCACCCGAGACUCAGUGAAAUUGAACUCGCUGUGAAGAUGCAGUGUACCCGCGGCAAGACGGAAAGACCCCGUGAACCUUUACUAUAGCUUGACACUGAACAUUGAGCCUUGAUGUGUAGGAUAGGUGGGAGGCUUUGAAGCGUGGACGCCAGUCUGCGUGGAGCCAACCUUGAAAUACCACCCUUUAAUGUUUGAUGUUCUAACGUUGGCCCCUUACCGGGGUUGCGGACAGUGUCUGGUGGGUAGUUUGACUGGGGCGGUCUCCUCCCAAAGCGUAACGGAGGAGCACGAAGGUUAGCUAAUCCUGGUCGGACAUCAGGAGGUUAGUGCAAUGGCAUAAGCUAGCUUGACUGCGAGCGUGACGGCGCGAGCAGGUGCGAAAGCAGGUCAUAGUGAUCCGGUGGUUCUGAAUGGAAGGGCCAUCGCUCAACGGAUAAAAGGUACUCCGGGGAUAACAGGCUGAUACCGCCCAAGAGUUCAUAUCGACGGCGGUGUUUGGCACCUCGAUGUCGGCUCAUCACAUCCUGGGGCUGAAGUAGGUCCCAAGGGUAUGGCUGUUCGCCAUUUAAAGUGGUACGCGAGCUGGGUUUAGAACGUCGUGAGACAGUUCGGUCCCUAUCUGCCGUGGGCGCUGGAGAAUUGAGGGGGGCUGCUCCUAGUACGAGAGGACCGGAGUGGACGCAUCACUGGUGUUCGGGUUGUCAUGCCAAUGGCACUGCCCGGUAGCUAAAUGCGGAAGAGAUAAGUGCUGAAAGCAUCUAAGCACGAAACUUGCCCCGAGAUGAGUUCUCCCUGAGACUUUAAGUCUCCUGAAGGAACGUUAAAGACGAUGACGUUGAUAGGCCGGGUGUGUAAGCGCAGCGAUGCGUUGAGCUAACCGGUACUAAUGAACCGUGAGGCUUAACCUU
RNAcentral lists this ribosomal RNA (2903 nucleotides) under Klebsiella pneumoniae. RNAcentral's name for it is "23S ribosomal RNA". It matches the Rfam family "Bacterial large subunit ribosomal RNA". The record is from RNAcentral. Lineage: Bacteria; Pseudomonadati; Pseudomonadota; Gammaproteobacteria; Enterobacterales; Enterobacteriaceae.